Molecule: ribosomal RNA, 301 nt
Filed under: Duganella sp. FT27W
Lineage: Bacteria; Pseudomonadati; Pseudomonadota; Betaproteobacteria; Burkholderiales; Oxalobacteraceae
Description: partial 23S ribosomal RNA
Rfam family: Bacterial large subunit ribosomal RNA
Source: RNAcentral
UAGGUAUGCAAAGCGAACGCGGCGAACUGAAACAUCUAAGUAGCUGCAGGAAAAUAAAUCAACCGAGAUUCCCAAAGUAGUGGCGAGCGAAAUGGGAAGAGCCUGUACGUGAUAGUCGGACUGAUAGUGGAAUGCUCUGGAAAUGGCAGCCAUAGCGGGUGAUAGCCCCGUACACGAAAUCAGACCGGUGGUACUAAGCGUACGACAAGUAGGGCGGGACACGAGAAAUCCUGUCUGAAUAUGGGGGGACCAUCCUCCAAGGCUAAAUACUCGUAAUCGACCGAUAGUGAACCAGUACCGU